RNAcentral lists this long non-coding RNA (622 nucleotides) under Ceratitis capitata (Mediterranean fruit fly). Its description in RNAcentral is "uncharacterized LOC110117853, transcript variant X1". Lineage: Eukaryota; Metazoa; Arthropoda; Insecta; Diptera; Tephritidae. The record is from RNAcentral.
UGCAAAAAGCCGUAUUUUAAGAAGUUUGAGAGAAAAAAAUUACCUACUUAAUUUGGAAGACAGCGUUUUCAUUCACCAUUUUCGCCUGAACAAACCAGUUUAUUGGGAUCUUAUGAACGAAUUAGCACCAUAUGACAAUUGAACAGAAGCCGUCCUUGCCGUUUUAUUUGAGGUUUCUCUCAACAAUAUACUUCUUUUCCCACGGGUCGUAUCAGAAAUGCGUUGGGGGCGAUUGUCCAACUGCGAUGAGCCAGUCUUCUGUUUCGCGAUCACUGCAUUAUAUAAUAUUUCAAAUUUGAUUGUCAAAGUGAGAGCCGGAAAAAUUUGCUUCCCAAUAACAAGUGAAAUGCAAACACAAACAAAAAGAAGGCUUCAUUGGUGCAAAUGACUGCACACACAUUGGCAUUAUGGCACCUACAAGCAACGACCCUACAAAUCCAGCAAGCCUGUAUAUGAACCGGAAGGGUAAUUACAGUGUGAUUGAUUCGGCUCAUAAAAUGAAUUUAAAUUCAGGGCUAUUUCGUCCCACAAUCUUUUCUGAGCAAAUAGCAAAAAAAUUAAAUUCUACCAUAUUAUUUUGUACAUUGUGUCAUUACUGUGAAUUUUGGUGUGUCCACAUUUA